Molecule: long non-coding RNA, 1628 nt
Filed under: Triticum aestivum (bread wheat)
Lineage: Eukaryota; Viridiplantae; Streptophyta; Magnoliopsida; Poales; Poaceae
Description: long non-coding RNA (TAES_LNC002419)
Source: RNAcentral
AUGAACACAUAUAUAUAUCCAACACAUGUUACCAAUAGUAGCAAGUUUGAUCCGUACAUAUACAUAGUUUCAUCAAUAUUACAUAGUUUCAUCCAUAGGUAGCAAGUUUCACAAGGUCAAAACAAAAACUAAAUACAAGCACUCCAUCAACCUAAGCUUCCGUGAUCUUAAGCAAAUCUGUAAAAUGGAAAAAAGAAAGUUAGAAGAAGAAGACUAGAAGAAGAAGAUUAUUAUGAUGCAACUAAAAUGUGAAGAUUAUUAUGAUGCAACUUAUAUCUGUAAAAUAGGUCAUUUUGGAGCUAAGUAAGGUCAUUAUGUCAUUUGGAGCUAGCUAAGCAUAUGAAGUCAUUUAGGAGCUAAAAUAUGUCAUUUCUUAAGCAUAUUAUGUCAUUUUAGAGCUAGUUAAGCAUAUUAAGUCAUUUUGGAGGAAAAGAUGCUAAGUAUAGGUCAUUUUAGAGCUAUCCUAGGUUAAAUAUAUCAUUUUUAAGCUAGCUAAGCAUAUUAAGUCAUUUUGGAGGAAAAAUGCUAAGUAUAUGUCAUUUUAGAGCUAUCCUAGGUUAAAUAUGUCAUUUUGGAGCUAAUUAAGCUUAUUAUGUCAUUUUUGAGCUAGCUAAGCAUAUUGAGUCAUUUUGGAGGAAAAAAUGCUAAGUUUAUGAUUAUGUUACUAGUAUCCAUAUGGCAGAGAACCCGGGCCGACAUGACUAGUCAUUGAACAAGCAGUCAGUGCAGAAUUAUACUCAAGUCAACGACGAGCUUGCCUGCAACGGCAAGGCAAAUGACAAUUGAUUUAUUACUUCUCACACAAGACAGAAGUAAUAAAUAUGUGUCAGCAAUGGAACAGAUCACAUGUUGCUUUGGUCAUAGCAUGUGUAAAACCCUACGAAAUUCUAAUAGUUUUGGGGAGUAAUAGGAGAAACACAAUAUUUAAGACAAGUGCAUGGGCAUGCGCAUCAGUGUAUAAAAUUGAAAAACAUGGAUAUCUCCCCUAAAAUCCAAAGAUUCAGGUUAGAUUUGGAUUAUUAUAUACUUUCUAAGAAUUGGUUUAGAUGCCAAGGAUACCAAUUCCCACAAAUAUCUAAUAAAUUUCUCCAUCCUAAAUGUGUGAACCUAGUGGGAUAAUAUAGCUUGCAGAGGAUCCGAUGCUACUAUCGGAUUUAGCGAAAAUAAAGAUGAUGAAGAGCAGCUUUCAAGUAUUUAGUCUAUAGACCAUAGAACCCUCUGACUGAGCUAAUUAAGCUAAAGGAAAUAAACCAUAGAUAAGAAUACAGAAACAAUUAUGAAGAUAACUGGGCAUAUAUACUAAAUAGCUUCAUCAACAAGAGGCUCGCAGUGCAAGACAAAUACAAAAUUAUCCUUUAACCAGUAACAUUUUCUACUAGCACAGUGACCAACUUAAGACUAGAAAAAUACAACUGAACUUUGCAUUAUCUAAUAAGGUAUAAUGGAUCUUUUUUUCCAUUCAAAAAUAAAAGGAGCGCUACUACCUGAAGGUUCUAAAAUUGUACUUGCAGAUGUUCUGGGAUCCUAACCUUACUUUCGUAUCCCUUGGAAUGUAUACAGUUCUAAAGAGAAUCACUCAUAUGUCCAAGGUUUGGAAACCUGAAAGUAUUCUUCAGUUAUAACUAUCC